RNAcentral lists this ribosomal RNA (406 nucleotides) under uncultured bacterium. RNAcentral's name for it is "partial 16S ribosomal RNA". It matches the Rfam family "Bacterial small subunit ribosomal RNA", at positions 30 to 526 of the family's 1533-position model. The record is from RNAcentral.
AUUGAACGCUGGCGGCAGGCCUAACACAUGCAAGUCGAACGAGUGGCGGACUGGUGAGUAAUUUCUGGGAAACUGCUUGACGUCGGGGGUAAACAACUGGAAACGGUAGCUAAAACCGCAUACCAUCACAUAUGCCCAGAUGGGAUUAGCUAGUUGCUGGGGUAACGGCACACCAAGGCGACGAUCCCUAGCUGGUCUGAGAGGAGGACCAGCAACACUGGAAUGGAUACACGGCCAAGACACCUACGGGAGGCAGCAGUGGGGAAUAUUGUGCAAUGGGCGCAAGCCUGAUGCAGCAAGGCCGCGGGGAUGAAGAAGGUCUUCGGGUUGUAAAGUACUUUCAGUGGGGAGGCGUUACCCGGAGAAGAAGCACCGGCUAACUACGUGCCAGCAGCCGCGGUAAUAC